GGCAGUGUGGCGUAGUGGUUUGAGCCUUGGACCGCAACUCUGGAGACCAAGGUUCGAUUCCCAGCUUGGCCA
Molecule: non-coding RNA, 72 nt
Organism: Phrynosoma platyrhinos (Desert horned lizard)
Lineage: Eukaryota; Metazoa; Chordata; Lepidosauria; Squamata; Phrynosomatidae
Source: the annotation of a GenBank genome assembly